UAGGGAAUAUUAGAGAUGGACGCAAGUCUGAUCUAGCAACACCGCGUGUGCGAAGAAGGCCUUCGGGUCGUAAAGCACUUUUUGGAAGGAAUAGGAAGGAAUGUACUUCCAGAAUAAGUCUCGGCUAACUACGUGCCAGCAGCCGCGGUAACACGUAGGAGGCAAACGUUAUCCGGAUUUACUGGGCGUAAAGCGCGUGUAGGUGGUACUGUAAGUAGGGCGUGAAAGCUCCUGGCUCAACUGGGAGAGGCCGUUCUAAACUACAGAACUAGAGGAUGGUAGAGGAAGGUGGAAUUACUGGUGUAGCGGUGGAAUGCGCAGAUAACUGGAGGAACACAGGUGGCGAAGGCGGCCUCCUGGACCAUUACUGACACUCAGACGCGAAA
RNAcentral lists this ribosomal RNA (386 nucleotides) under uncultured bacterium. RNAcentral describes it as "bacterial SSU rRNA". It matches the Rfam family "Bacterial small subunit ribosomal RNA", at positions 355 to 758 of the family's 1533-position model. The record is from RNAcentral.